This 486-nucleotide ribosomal RNA is filed under the name uncultured Lachnospiraceae bacterium. RNAcentral describes it as "bacterial SSU rRNA". It matches the Rfam family "Bacterial small subunit ribosomal RNA", at positions 907 to 1392 of the family's 1533-position model. Lineage: Bacteria; Bacillati; Bacillota; Clostridia; Lachnospirales; Lachnospiraceae. The record is from RNAcentral.
GAAUUGACGGGGACCCGCACAAGCGGUGGAGCAUGUGGUUUAAUUCGAAGCAACGCGAAGAACCUUACCAAAUCUUGACAUCCUUCUGACCGGUCCGUAAAGGGGCCUUUCCUUCGGGACAGAAGAGACAGGUGGUGCAUGGUUGUCGUCGGCUCGUGUCGUGAGAUGUUGGGUUAAGUCCCGCAACGAGCGCAACCCUUAUCCUUAGUAGCCAGCACGCAGAGGUGGGCACUCUGGGGAGACUGCCAGGGACAACUUGGAGGAAGGUGGGGAUGACGUCAAAUCAUCAUGCCCCUUAUGAUCUGGGCUACACACGUGCUACAAUGGCGGCCACAAAGGGAAGCGACCCUGUGAAGGUGAGCGAAUCCCAAAAAAGCCGUCCCAGUUCGGAUUGUAGUCUGCAACUCGACUACAUGAAGCCGGAAUCGCUAGUAAUCGCGAAUCAGCAUGUCGUGGUGAAUACGUUCCCGGGUCUUGUACACACCG